This 446-nucleotide ribosomal RNA is filed under the name uncultured bacterium. RNAcentral's name for it is "partial 16S ribosomal RNA". It matches the Rfam family "Bacterial small subunit ribosomal RNA", at positions 338 to 795 of the family's 1533-position model. The record is from RNAcentral.
CCUACGGGAGGCAGCAGUCGAGAAUCAUUCACAAUGGGGGAAACCCUGAUGGUGCGACGCCGCGUGGGGGAAUGAAGGUCUUCGGAUUGUAAACCCCUGUCAUGUGGGAGCAAAUUAAAAAGAUAGUACCACAAGAGGAAGAGACUGCUAACUCUGUGCCAGCAGCCGCGGUAAUACAGAGGUCUCAAGCGUUGUUCGGAAUCACUGGGCGUAAAGCGUGCGUAGGCUGUUUCGUAAGUCGUGUGUGAAAGGCGCGGGCUAAACCCGCGGACGGCAUAUGAUACUGGGAGACUAGAGUAAUGGAGGGGGAACCGGAAUUCGCGGUGUAGCAGUGAAAUGCGUAGAUAUCGAGAGGAACACUCGUGGCGAAGGCGGGUUACUGGACAUUAACUGACGCUGAGGGACGAAGGCCAGGGGAGCGAAAGGGAUUAGAUACCCGAGUAGUC